AAGAGAUUACAGCUUUUAUGGACAAUCCUUGAAUUGAAUUUGAAUUUGAUAUUAAUACUAGCAUAGAUUUGAAAGAAAUGAAUCAAGUUUAUGUUCGGUUGAGACUGCUAGGUUAUAAGCAUUUCGAUUCUAUUUUACUUACAUUGUGUAUUUCUUUUGUUUUGGUUCUCAUGCCCAUUGGAUCAUUUUCUUUUUCCCUUGCAUGAUUAGAUUUCCA
RNAcentral lists this unclassified non-coding RNA (217 nucleotides) under Hevea brasiliensis (rubber tree). The record is from RNAcentral. Lineage: Eukaryota; Viridiplantae; Streptophyta; Magnoliopsida; Malpighiales; Euphorbiaceae.